RNAcentral lists this ribosomal RNA (493 nucleotides) under uncultured bacterium. Its description in RNAcentral is "partial 16S ribosomal RNA". It matches the Rfam family "Bacterial small subunit ribosomal RNA", at positions 29 to 507 of the family's 1533-position model. The record is from RNAcentral.
ACGAACGCUGGCGGCGUGCUUAACACAUGCAAGUCGAACGGUGAAGCGCCUUCCUUUUUGGUGGGUGUGGAUGAGUGGCGAACGGGUGAGUAACACGUGAGUAACCCGCCCCCUUCUUCUGGAUAACCGCAUGAAAGUGUGGCUAAUACGGGAUAUUCUGGGUCUGUCGCAUGAUGGGUCUGGGAAAGAUAUUGUUUCGGUGGGGGAUGGGCUCGCGGCCUACCAGGUUGUUGGUGGGGUGAUGGCCUACCAAGGCGGUGACGGGUAGCAGGCCUGAGAGGGUGGACGGUCACACUGGGACUGAGACACGGCCCAGACUCCUACGGGAGGCAGCAGUGGGGAAUAUUGCACAAUGGGCGGAAGCCUGAUGCAGCGACGCCGCGUGAGGGAUGGAGGCCUUCGGGUUGUGAACCUCUUUCGCCAGUGAAGCAGGCCUGCCUCGUUUGUGGGUGGGUUGACGGUAGCUGGAUAAGAAGCGCCGGCUAACUACGUG